RNAcentral lists this ribosomal RNA (279 nucleotides) under uncultured bacterium. RNAcentral's name for it is "partial 16S ribosomal RNA". It matches the Rfam family "Bacterial small subunit ribosomal RNA", at positions 32 to 286 of the family's 1533-position model. The record is from RNAcentral.
AAUCAACGCUGGCGGCGUGCCUCAGACAUGCAAGUCGAACGCGAGAGGUUCCUUCGGGAGCCGAGUAGAGUGGCGCUCGGGUGAGUAACACGUAGGUAAUUUGCCUUUGGGUGGGGAAUAACAAUCGGAAACGGUUGCUAAUACCGCAUAAUGCAGCGGCUCGACAUCGAGACAGUUGUUAAAGCGGGGGAGUCCUUCGGGACCGUCGCGCCUAAAGAGAAGCCUGCGGCGGANAGUCUAGUUGGUGAGGUAAUGGCUCACCAAGGCGACGAUCCGUAA